This is a long non-coding RNA of Oncorhynchus masou masou (cherry salmon), 1471 nucleotides long. RefSeq lists it as uncharacterized. Lineage: Eukaryota; Metazoa; Chordata; Actinopteri; Salmoniformes; Salmonidae. The record is from RefSeq and is a predicted model, not a curated record. The transcript is spliced from 3 exons.
UCUUCCUCGUAGCAGCCAGUGCAUGUACAGAGCUCAGAGUAAGGCCUAUAUGCGAGGACACGGAUGAAGAUUGGGCCGUAGUUCUCAUUUUUGCUCCUUCGUUUACUCUUUGCUUUGCACGUGUGGUGUCCGUGAGAUUGUUGUAUUUCUUUGUUUUCCGCCACGGGGACCUUGACAAGGGCCAUGGGGUGAGAAAAUAAUGCAGCUUGAGCUCCACCCUCCUCGACAUCAAUGAUUUGGCAAGGGCACUUGAACAAUCUGCGGCACCCGGCCUCACCUUACUCAACUCAGAAAUCAGAUGUCUACUGUUUGCAGAUGAUCUGAUGCUUCUGUUCCCAACCAAAGAGGGCCUACAGCAGCACUGAGAUCUUCUGCACAGAUUAUGUUAGACUUGGGCCCUGACAGUGAAUCUCAGUAAAACGAAAAUAAUCCAGGACAACAAAUACAAAUUACAUUUAGGCAGAAAUACUCCUCAGUUUUAUCAGCUGCCCGGGUGGCUGGUCCCAGACGAAGACGCCGGAUGUUGAGGUCCUGGGCUGGCGUGGUUACACAAGGUGUGCUGUCAUGAGGCUGGUUGGACGUACUGCCACAUUCUCAAAAAAAACGAUGGAGGUGGCUUAUGGUAGAGAAAUGAAAGUACAAUUAUUUGGCAACAGCUCUGGAGGACAUUCCCGCAGUCAGCAUGCCAAUUCCACGCUCCCUCAAAACUUGAGACAUCUGUGGCAUUGUGUUGUGUGACAAAACUGCACCUUUUAGAGUGGCCUUUGAUUGUCCCCUGCUGAAGGUACACCUGUGUAAUGAUCAUGCUGUUUAAUCAGCUUCAUGACAGUGCUGGAAAAAGUAUCACUGGUCACACUUGUGUAAAAGUGAAAGUCACCCAGUAAAAUACUACUUGAGUAAAAGUCUAAAAGUAUUUGGUUUUAAAUAUAUUUAAGCAUCAAAAGUAAAUGUAAUUGCUAAAAUAUAAUUAAGUAUCAAAAGUAUAAAUCAUUAUGUUACGCAAAACAGACGACACCAUUUACACAUAGACGUGGGCACACUCCAACACUUAGACAUCAUUUACGAACAAAGCAUGUGAUUUGUGAGUCCGCCAGAUCAAAGGCAGUAGGGAUAACCAGGGAUGUUCUCUUGAUAAGCAUGUGAAUUAGACCCUUUUCUUGUCGAAAUGUAACACAUACUUUUGGGUAUCAGGGAAAAUGUAUGAAACAUGGGACCGGUCCUUUACAUGUUGCGUUAAUCUUUAUAUUCAGUAUAGAUCAUUCGGAGAGAGUUUUUGAAGGAGAGAGCCUUGAUUUAUUGCUGUGAGGAAUGCAUCAUGAGCCCCAUCCAUCAUAGCCAGAGAAAAGGACAGUCUUCCUCUCACCUGAGGCAGAUAGUGGACACCGCCAGGGAUAUAUUCCAUUAUUGCACACCGUAGCAAAACGUUUUGCCGUGGAAAUUGUUUUGCAAUAAAAACAAGAGUUUCCAAUUC